UGGGGAAUAUUGCGCAAUGGGCGAAAGCCUGACGCAGCAACGCCGCGUGGGGGAUGAAGGUUCUCGGAUUGUAAACCCCUUUCGACCGGAACGAAUCCCCUCCUGGUAAAUAAUCAGGAGGAUCGACGGUACCGGGAGAAGAAGCCACGGCUAACUCUGUGCCAGCAGCCGCGGUAAGACAGAGGUGGCGAGCGUUGUUCGGAUUUAUUGGGCGUAAAGCGUACGCAGGCGGUUUGGUAAGUCAGAGGUGAAAGCCCACAGCUUAACUGUGGCACUGCCUUUGAUACUGCCUUUCUAGAGUGCAUGAGGGGGAAGCGGAAUUCCGAGUGUAGAGGUGAAAUUCGUAGAUAUUCGGAGGAACACCGGUGGCGAAGGCGGCUUCCUGGCAUGUAACUGACGCUCAUGUACGAAAGCGUGGGUAGCAAACAGGAUUAGAUACCCUGGUAGUCCAUGCCCUAAACGAUGGGCACUAGGUGUGGGAGGUAUCGACCCCUUCCGUGCCGCAGCUAACGCAUUAAGUGCCCCGCCUGGGGAGUACGGCCGCAAGGUUG
RNAcentral lists this ribosomal RNA (551 nucleotides) under uncultured bacterium. Its description in RNAcentral is "bacterial SSU rRNA". It matches the Rfam family "Bacterial small subunit ribosomal RNA", at positions 355 to 896 of the family's 1533-position model. The record is from RNAcentral.